AACGAACGCUGGCGGCGUGCCUAACACAUGCAAGUCGAACGAGAAAGGGGCUUCGGCUCCGAGUAAAGUGGCGCACGGGUGAGUAACACGUGGGUAACCUGCCUCUAAGAUUGGGAUAACUCGUCGAAAGAUGAGCUAAUACCGAAUAAGACCACAGUUCCCGCGGGAACAGGGGUCAAAGGUAGCCUCUGCUUGCAAGCUAUCACUUAGAGAUGGGCCUGCGCACCAUUAGCUAGUUGGUAGGGUAACGGCCUACCAAGGCAAAGAUGGUUAGCUGGUCUGAGAGGAUGGUCAGCCACACUGGAAAUGGGACACGGGCCAGACUCCUACGGGAGGCAGCAGUGGGGAAAAUUGCGCAAUGGGGGAAAGCUUGACGCAACAACGCCGCGUGAGUGAUGAAGGCCUUCGGGUCGUAAAGCUCUGUCGGGAGGAACGAAUGCUCCUGAGGUUAACAGCCUCGGGAGGUGACGGUACCUUCAAAGGAAGCACCGGCUAACUCUGUG
This 503-nucleotide ribosomal RNA is filed under the name uncultured bacterium. RNAcentral's name for it is "partial 16S ribosomal RNA". It matches the Rfam family "Bacterial small subunit ribosomal RNA", at positions 29 to 507 of the family's 1533-position model. The record is from RNAcentral.